Small nuclear RNA from Varanus komodoensis (Komodo dragon), 102 nucleotides. The record is from Ensembl. Lineage: Eukaryota; Metazoa; Chordata; Lepidosauria; Squamata; Varanidae.
GAACAAUAGUGCUCACUUUGGAAACAUGUAUACAAAAAUUGAAGUUUAGCAUGGCUCCUGAACUUGGAUGACAUGCAAAAUUGUGCAGUGUUCCAUAUUUUG